RNAcentral lists this ribosomal RNA (495 nucleotides) under uncultured soil bacterium. RNAcentral's name for it is "bacterial SSU rRNA". It matches the Rfam family "Bacterial small subunit ribosomal RNA", at positions 26 to 521 of the family's 1533-position model. The record is from RNAcentral.
AGAUUGAACGCUGGCGGCAGGCCUAACACAUGCAAGUCGAGCGGUAGAGAGGUGCUUGCAUCUCUUGAGAGCGGCGGACGGGUGAGUAAUGCCUAGGAAUCUGCCCAGUGGUGGGGGAUAACGUUCGGAAACGGACGCUAAUACCGCAUACGUCCUACGGGAGAAAGCGGGGGACCUUCGGGCCUCGCGCCAUUAGAUGAGCCUAGGUCGGAUUAGCUAGUUGGUGAGGUAAUGGCUCACCAAAGGCGACGAUCCGUAACUGGUCUGAGAGGAUGAUCAGUCACACUGGAACUGAGACACGGUCCAGACUCCUACGGGAGGCAGCAGUGGGGAAUAUUGGACAAUGGGCGAAAGCCUGAUCCAGCCAUGCCGCGUGUGUGAAGAAGGUCUUCGGAUUGUAAAGCACUUUAAGUGGAGAAGGUUGUAACCUAAUACGUUGCAACUUUGACGUUACCGACAGAAUAAGCACCGGCUAACUUCGUGCCAGCAAGCCGA